Non-coding RNA from Cyanistes caeruleus (blue tit), 363 nucleotides. Lineage: Eukaryota; Metazoa; Chordata; Aves; Passeriformes; Paridae. The record is from RefSeq and is a predicted model, not a curated record.
ACAGCAGUGCAAGAGCUCUUAGCAGGAAGGGGCCUUAACACUUCAUGACUGAAGACUUGCAGGGAAUCACUCAAAAGUUUUGAAGGUUUUUGUGGUAACAGUGAAGGGAUAGAGCCUCAAAAGAAAAGGUCUCCAGGCCCUAGACCUGACAUCCCAAUCCGUUCUCCUGCUGUAGUCUCUCCUGAUGAGGAUGCUCAGGGUAGGAUUUCAAACAAUGCCUAACCCUGCAGUGUUUACUUAAUCAAACAAAUCUCAGGGCUCAGUAUGGCCUAGGUCUUUCAGCCCAGCCACUUUUGCCUAUGUCAUGCCAGUUGUUGAAAGGAGAAGCACAAAUCACAAAGGAAUAAAAACAACACAAUGUUA